Molecule: long non-coding RNA, 1056 nt
Organism: Leucoraja erinaceus (little skate)
Lineage: Eukaryota; Metazoa; Chordata; Chondrichthyes; Rajiformes; Rajidae
Exons: 3
Source: RefSeq, a predicted model, not a curated record
GAGACUGAAGGCACAGAGGCCAUAAACUACCCACCUGUAGACAUCAUGGUGGAAAUCUUCCCCAAAUCACCAUCCAGCAUAAACCCCCCUUGCGCUAGUCGGGUGGAGAUGCCAGCAUGGGUUUAGUUUAGUUUAGAGACACUGCGCGGAAACAGGCCCUUCGGCCCAGCGAGUCCGUGCCGACCAGCGAUCCCCGCUCACUAUCACUAUCCACACACACUGGGGACAAUUUACAAUUUUUACAGAAGUCUUUAACGCACAAACCUGUUGGUCUUUGGAGUUUGUACGAUGAUACCGGCGUUUUCUGUGUUGUAGGGGCAGCGGAUGUAGGCAGUGGGCGGUGAGAUGCUGAUGGGUGAACGGGACAUCACCUCCGAUGAGUUUAUCCUGGACGAAGUGGACACACACAUACAGGCCAACAUCGAGGAUGAACUCGUGAAGGAAGCAUUAAAGACUGUAGUUCUUUCCACUUCCCAACACAAAUGUGGUUGGAUUAUUCAGCAAAUGAUCGACCUGAGUCAAUAAAUCCUGGACCAUGGUAACAUAUAUGCUUAACCAUACACACUACUGAUUGAUGCUAGCAUUUUUUCUGUGAGGGACCGAAAAUUACCAUGACAUGGCCAUAGCAUGGGUCGUUAUUGCUAUUGGAACAGAAACACUCUCGCUUCCCACUUAAUUUAUCCAUAACAAAAUAUACAGGUUGUGAGGACAUUUCUAAAGGCAUUUUAUGAUAAUAGCUGUUAAAACCGACUAUACCCAUCUGACAGGUUAAACGUUACACUAACUGACAAGAGAUGGUCAAAGGACAUAACUGCAGCAAAAGUUAUUUUGGUAAUAUGUUUAAAGGUGUCAAAACAAAUAAUAACAUUGGGAAUUAAAACACAUUUGAUUGCAUUCCAUUAUCAAACAUAGUCAAUGUUCGCUCUGAAGACCAUGAAGCACAAUAGGGUCAGGGGGUGUGUGACUCAGUACGGGGUGGAUAGAUGGCGGAGGGAGGUUGAGAAGGCAAUCAGUGCGGAAUGGAUGGAUUGAGGCAGGUGAAUUAGUACGUGUUGG